Molecule: ribosomal RNA, 252 nt
Filed under: uncultured bacterium
Lineage: Bacteria
Description: partial 16S ribosomal RNA
Rfam family: Bacterial small subunit ribosomal RNA
Source: RNAcentral
CGGGUGAGUAACACGUAGAGAACCUACCUUACACAGGGGGACAACGGCUGGAAACGGCUGCUAAUACCGCAUAAGCACCCAGUUUCGCAUGAGACAGAGUGAAAAGAGUAAAUCGGUGUAAGAUGGCUCUGCGUCUGAUUAGCUAGUUGGUGGGGUAAAGGCUCACCAAGGCGACGAUCAGUAGCCGGCCUGAGAGGGCGACCGGCCACAUUGGGACUGAGACACGGCCCAGACUCCUACGGAAGGCAGCAG